This 254-nucleotide ribosomal RNA is filed under the name uncultured bacterium. RNAcentral's name for it is "partial 16S ribosomal RNA". It matches the Rfam family "Bacterial small subunit ribosomal RNA", at positions 524 to 776 of the family's 1533-position model. The record is from RNAcentral.
UACGGGGGGAGCAAGCGUUGUUCGGAUUUACUGGGCGUAAAGGGCGCGUAGGCGGCCACCGCAAGUCAAUUGUGAAAUCUCCGGGCUUAACUCGGAAAGGUCAACUGAUACUGCGGGGCUAGAGUGCGGAAGGGGCAACUGGAAUUCUCGGUGUAGCGGUGAAAUGCGUAGAUAUCGAGAGGAACACCUGCGGCGAAGGCGGGUUGCUGGGCCGACACUGACGCUGAGGAGCGAAAGCCAGGGGAGCAAACGGG